GACGAACGCUGGCGGCGUGCUUAACACAUGCAAGUCGAACGGAAAGGCCCUUCGGGGUACUCGAGUGGCGAACGGGUGAGUAACACGUGGGUGAUCUGCCCUGCACUUUGGGAUAAGCCUGGGAAACUGGGUCUAAUACCGAAUAUGAUCAUCGGCUUCAUGGUCGGUGGUGGAAAGCUUUUGCGGUGUGGGAUGGGCCCGCGGCCUAUCAGCUUGUUGGUGGGGUAAUGGCCUACCAAGGCGACGACGGGUAGCCGGCCUGAGAGGGUGACCGGCCACACUGGGGCUGAGAUACGGCCCAGACUCCUACGGGAGGCAGCAGUGGGGAAUAUUGCACAAUGGGCGCAAGCCUGAUGCAGCGACGCCGCGUGAGGGAUGACGGCCUUCGGGUUGUAAACCUCUUUCAGCACAGACGAAGCGCAAGUGACGGUAUGUGCAGAAGAAGGACCGGCCAACUACGUGCCAGCAGCCGCAGUAA
This 478-nucleotide ribosomal RNA is filed under the name uncultured bacterium. Its description in RNAcentral is "partial 16S ribosomal RNA". It matches the Rfam family "Bacterial small subunit ribosomal RNA", at positions 28 to 523 of the family's 1533-position model. The record is from RNAcentral.